Long non-coding RNA from Gossypium arboreum, 386 nucleotides. RefSeq lists it as uncharacterized. The record is from RefSeq and is a predicted model, not a curated record. The transcript is spliced from 2 exons. Lineage: Eukaryota; Viridiplantae; Streptophyta; Magnoliopsida; Malvales; Malvaceae.
ACACACGGGCCUUUCCAAAAUGCUACUGCUUUUAACAACCAUUUAUUUUAUUAUUAAAAACAAAAGCUAGUUUUAAAGUCUUUUUUUUUUGUUAAAAAAACUUUAACUUUAAUUUCUUUUUUCUAAAAAACCCUAAACUCUUUCUUCUCCCCACUGUCCUCUUUCUUCCAGCCGCAAACAAGGCCAACACCAAGCCUUCAUUCGCCUCCGUGACGACCAACAGAGGGCUGGAGAACCCCUCUUGUGAAGCGAAUCGAGAGGCCGUGAAGUUGUGGAGAACGAGGGGCAUGGAGUAUGGGCGCAAACAUGGAGCGAGGCACACGGGGAUCGUGCGUGGAGUGCCGACGUGGGGGUUGCGGCGUGGGGCUGCUGUGCAAAAGGGGAAC